UGGAAUGUAGCUCAGUGGUAGAGCACUUUCCUCACAUGCAGGAGGCCCUGGGUUCCACCCCCAGCACCACAA
This 72-nucleotide transfer RNA is filed under the name Marmota marmota marmota (Alpine marmot). It matches the Rfam family "tRNA". From Rfam's summary of the family: Transfer RNA (tRNA) molecules are approximately 80 nucleotides in length. Their secondary structure includes four short double-helical elements and three loops (D, anti-codon, and T loops). The record is from Rfam by way of RNAcentral. RNAcentral also lists the same sequence under 1 other name. Lineage: Eukaryota; Metazoa; Chordata; Mammalia; Rodentia; Sciuridae.